AGCAGCCGCGGUAAUUCCAGCUCCAAUAGCGUAUAUUAAAGUUGUUGCAGUUAAAAAGCUCGUAGUUGAAUUUCGGGAUCAAUAUGUUGGUCGUGCCUUGGUACGUACUGGCAUUAUCGAUUCCUACCUUCUGAAGAACCUCGAUGUCAUUAAUUUGGUGUCUUGGGGAAUCAGGACUGUUACUUUGAAAAAUUAGAGUGUUUAAAGCAGGCUCGCGCUUGAAUACAUUAGCAUGGAAUAAUGAAAUAGGACGUUUGAUUCUAUUUUGUUGGUUUCUAGGAUCGACGUAAUGAUUAAUAGGGAUAGUUGGGGGCAUUAGUAUUUAAUUGUCAGAGGUGAAAUUCUUGGAUUUAUUGAAGACUAACUACUGCGAAAGCAUUUGCCAAGGAUGUUUUCAUUAAUCAAGAACGAAAGUUAGGGGAUCGAAGACGAUCAGAUACCGUCGUAGUCUUAACCAUAAACUAUGCCGACUAGGGAUCGGAUGGAU
Molecule: unclassified non-coding RNA, 487 nt
Filed under: uncultured Glomus
Lineage: Eukaryota; Fungi; Glomeromycota; Glomeromycetes; Glomerales; Glomeraceae
Description: SSU rRNA
Rfam family: Eukaryotic small subunit ribosomal RNA
Source: RNAcentral